UCCACGUGGAGAGGGAGGGUGGAGUUAGUCAUGACAGCCACACAGAACAUGGUUGCAUAAGAGGGGGAAAGUGAAGGUGUUCGUACCAAGCACAGAACUAACUGUCAAGUUACCCACAGUCCACAGAUUACAGCCCGAUCCGGGGCGUGUCAUUUCCACAGGGGGCUUUAGGGGAAAAGAAAGAAAGAAAGACUAUUCCACGAGCAUCAAGCAAACCAGGUGCUCCAUCUCCGCCAUCGCCGCCGCUGCUGCGGGCCGCCGCCGCAGCCGCCGCCAAGCGUCUCAGCCGGGAGCGGAGGGCGGAGACCCGCGCGCGUCCAUCUUUACUGCUCCGCUGCCCGCGCCGCCCGCACUCCCUCGCGGCCUCAGCACGCAGGCGCGGCGAAGCCCCGGUUGCAUCACGGGACUUUGUAGUAGGAGAUCCGCGCGCCCCCCCUUCCCCCGGGCGCACCCGCGCCCAAAGGGAACUACAAGUCCCUGGAUGCAUCGGGAAAGAGGCGCGGCCCGGGGGGGGGCUCCCUGCUUGGCCGCGGACGCGCGGGGUCACCUCUGCCCCGAAGCGGGAGCUGUCCCCCGCCCGAGGCACCUCCGCGGGCUUGUUGGGAGUCGUAGUUUAUUCUUGUUCUGACUUACAGCUAAUCUCGGCUCCCUAACUAUCACGUCAGUCUUUUGAAGUGGAAAAGGGGUCGGUAAUUAUCCCUACUUUCUAUUGGGGAAAACUGGACGGAAAGUACCCGAAACUCUCAAAACCGUGUCCUGGUUGUAAAUGCAGAGCUUUAUUAACGUUGUAAUUUAGAACGCAUUAACAGGUGGCCCUGAAGAGAUCCUGGGAUUGAUGCUCGCAGGUGUAGUGGGAAGCGCAUUCAAGUUCAGAUCUCCUCCCAACAAGUUACUUGACUUCUCCGACCCUGAUUGGUAAGAUGGGAAUAAUAAUACCUUAGGGAAUUCCCUGGAGGUCCAGAGGUUAGGACUCGGCGCUUUCACGGCUGGGUGCGCCGGUUCAAUCCCUGCUCGGGAACUAAGAUCCCACAAGACCCGGCGCGGCCAAAAAAUUAAAAAAGAAAAAAAAAAAACUCACAGGGUGGUCGUGUGGAGCGGAUAAGAUAAUACAUGCAAGGAUAUCUAGUACUAUCUCUGUGCGUAUACCGGUUCACAAUAAAUAUUAAUUUCCCUUC
Long non-coding RNA from Lagenorhynchus albirostris (white-beaked dolphin), 1175 nucleotides. RefSeq lists it as uncharacterized. The transcript is spliced from 2 exons. Lineage: Eukaryota; Metazoa; Chordata; Mammalia; Artiodactyla; Delphinidae. The record is from RefSeq and is a predicted model, not a curated record.